AACGAACGCUGGCGGCAUGCCUAACACAUGCAAGUCGAACGAGACCUUCGGGUCUAUUGGCGCACGGGUUCGUAACGCGUGGGAACCUGCCCUUAGGUUCGGAAUAACUCCCCGAAAGGGGUGCUAAUACCGGAUAAUGUCUUCGGACCAAAGAUUUAUCGACUUUGGAUGGGCCCGAGUUGGAUUAGCUAGUUGGUAGGGUAAAAGCCUACCAAGGCGACGAUCCAUAGCUGGUAUGAGAGGAUGAUCAGCCACACUGGGACUGAGACACGGCCCAGACUCCUACGGGAGGCAGCAGUGGGGAAUAUUGGAAAAUGGGCGAAAGCCUGAUGCAGCAAUGCUGCGUGAGUGAUGAAGGCCUUAGGGUUGUAAAGCUCUUUUACCCGGGAUGAUAAUGACAGUACCGGGAGAAUAAGCUCCGGCUAACUCCGUG
Molecule: ribosomal RNA, 433 nt
Filed under: uncultured bacterium
Lineage: Bacteria
Description: partial 16S ribosomal RNA
Rfam family: Bacterial small subunit ribosomal RNA
Source: RNAcentral